Molecule: long non-coding RNA, 279 nt
Organism: Mastomys coucha (southern multimammate mouse)
Lineage: Eukaryota; Metazoa; Chordata; Mammalia; Rodentia; Muridae
Exons: 3
Source: RefSeq, a predicted model, not a curated record
CUUAGUCUUACUCUCUUUGUCCAAAACUUAUGACUCAAAUAUGAACUCUCAACUACUGUUCCAGCCCCAUUACUGCCUGCUUAUCCCCACAUUCUUUACCAAUAUAAUAUAACUCUCUGAAACUAACUGCAGGUACAAAAAAUGGAGAAGAGACUGAGGGUCAAGAGGACCAGUUACCUGCCCAAAUUGGGAUCCAUCUUAUGGGAAGGCUCCAAGCAGCAGCUGUGGACAGGAGAGGAGGAAGGUCCUUCCACAAUUUUCCUAAGAACACGGAGCAGA